AGAAUCAACGCUGGCGGCGUGCCUAACACAUGCAAGUCGAACGAGAAAGUGGAGCAAUCCAUGAGUAAAGUGGCGCACGGGUGAGUAACACGUGACUAACCUACCCUUGAGUGGGGGAUAACCUAGGGAAACCUGGGCUAAUACCGCAUAAUACCUUCGGGUCAAAGGAGCAAUUCGCUUAAGGAGGGGGUCGCGGCCGAUUAGUUAGUUGGCGGGGUAAUGGCCCACAAGACGAUGAUCGGUAU
Molecule: ribosomal RNA, 245 nt
Filed under: uncultured bacterium
Lineage: Bacteria
Description: partial small subunit ribosomal RNA
Rfam family: Bacterial small subunit ribosomal RNA
Source: RNAcentral